Long non-coding RNA from Pseudopipra pipra, 6626 nucleotides. RefSeq lists it as uncharacterized. The record is from RefSeq and is a predicted model, not a curated record. The transcript has 2 exons. Lineage: Eukaryota; Metazoa; Chordata; Aves; Passeriformes; Pipridae.
UGCUGCACCAAAGCAGAACAAAAAGCCUUUUAGAAAUAGGCAGGUGGUCAGUGUCUCCCACAUGAGAGCAAAAGGACAGGAAUUCCAACUUGGCUACCCACCAUCUCCCACCCUGUGGCACCUCUGAGAUCUGAGUCACUUCAUCAAUAAGAGGUACAGUAGCAUAGCCAUAAUUAAUUACUGCUCCAUCCCAGCUGCAAACCUCCUUCCCUUCAAGGUUCCCACCCUGGGAUGGCAUGGUUAGAUUGCAGGGAUCAUGCAGUGGCCACCCAUUGAGGUCCCCUCCACUACCAUGAGCCUUCUCCAAAGCCAUCUUUGGGCCAAGGCCAGUCAGGAGACCCAUGUCUGGAUGAGGCUGACUUGGGUGGGAGGAAAGCACCAGGGAAGGGCACAUGCAGAGUGUGUAACCCCAACUGCUCUCACCUGCCCUGCUCCAGACAGAUCUCCUUUCACUCUGUCCUUGGUGGGGGCAGGCAAGGACAUGGCCAUUCACUCAGGGGGGAAGUGCAAAAGCAAAGGACAAGAGCAGUUAGGGAAAAACGCUUUAAUAAGGAGCCGAGUGAACAAUAAAGAGAAGCACUUGAUUUUUUUUUCCCUCUCAAUUUUUUUUGUGUGCAUCCUCCAAAAGGAAAAUAUCUGGUCCCCUCCAUGCUCGGUCUCCAGCAGCCCCUCUGAAGGACUGCCAUGGGCAGCCCCACAUGGGAAACACCAUCCCUACCAGCCCUGGGGUGCCAGUAUCACUGCCUCCACCCCACUCCACUUGCCAGCUUGGAAACUCAGGGACAGCUCCAUGAUCUAAAACAUUCUGCUGCUUUCCCCUGCUCUCCUAUCUUUUAGUGCCUCAUUGCUACCUGCAAACAGAGGGGCCUUGAGCCCCAGCUGCUGCAGCUCUGACAGAGCCUUUCCCUACCUCUUGCAUGUCCCCUCCCAAAAACCCACAUGUCCCAUUUUAGCUGCCACAAGAAUUAAUUCCUAUUCCUUUGUAAUGAACUGCAUGUGCUGCCUGCUAGCCUCAGUUUAAAGGAAAAAAAUAACUCCUGGUUGCUGCCACCUGCUUGCAACAUUCCCUAAUGCUGCACAGGGUUGGGAACACCUUAUCAAGCUCAAGAGGAGGCCAGGGCUGGCUGGCCAGGGGCAUCUGUAUCCUGUACUUCUCCAGCUUGAUUUAGUGAGUAGUGGCAUUUUGGCUACUGGGAGUGGUUCUUCUGGAGACCAAGAGGUGUGGGCACCUACACUGGGGUGCCCAGACCUGGGUCUGGCUGGGCAGGCACAGUGCCCAGCACGGUCAGGCAUCUGUAGGCAUCUCACUGCAGUGAUAUGGGCACUGAGCAGAGCUAAAGGAGCUGGGAGCUGAUUUCCCGGCAGGUGCCUUCAUAGAGGGAAGUGAUUUGAGGAAACCAAGAGCUCUCUCAUCCUCUACCCUCUUCCUACCAGAACUCUCCCCGUCUUAUUUAAAUUCAGCUUUGGCAGAUGCUCUUUUUACAGGAGCUAAUUUCGGCAAAGUGUCAAGAAAUCCCCGGAGAUGAUGCUAUUUACAAGGCACGAGGGCGGCACGGAGCUAGGUUUUAUCCGGUGUCGCCGGCAUUUCAGCCCCUGUUGUCGCUUCCUUCCUCUCGCAUGAAGUCCUGCGGGAAGAGGAAGGCAAGUGUGAGGGACCAGGAGCUGGGGGUUUGUUGCACCCACAGCCUCUCUAGGAGCAGAAGAUAGGGCAGGCUGAAGGCAGCCAGCUCCUUGCAGAAACAACAGUCACGCGAGCGCUGUCACGCUGCUCCCUGACUUUCGCCCAAGAGAGGUUGGGUCCUGCCAGGGGAACCAAAGCCAUGCAUUAGCUCUGAGCCUGGAUGCAGAUAGGGAAUCUUUAUAAUGCUGGAGGGAGGAAGUGUAGGACAGUUUUGCAUGGGGAAGGUAUGUUUUUCAACCACAAGCACCUGCAAAAAGCUGCCCAAGACAUACAGCACAGGGAAGCACCAGGAUCUGCAGCCACCCAGCUGAGAACAGGGAGUAGGGAGCAGUGGCAGGGAAAUAUAUCUGGGAGGGCAGGCAGUGGGGAGGUGGACAGCAAAGAGAGGAACCAGCUGAACUUGGCUCAGUCUGUCAGUCAGUUCCUCAGCACUACCACAGACCUCAUCCUGCAGGGAUUUGCAAUUUGCUGUCUGGGGCUUGUCAAACGGAACUUGGAAGAGUCGCUCUGUGGAGGCUGCACAGCUCCUGAGCAAACAGGGCUGGACGUUCCAGUGAGCAUUGGAGGCUUUGCACAGUCACAGGUGACUGGGAAGGGGCAGGUUAACAAACAUCUCACUCUGUGGCUGUUCCUUCCUGCCACCAGCAGCAAUUCACACUGAGAAAUGCGCAGCUGGGAUAAUAAUAACCAGGCAUACCAAGGGACCAAUAGCUCUCAGCACUUUCAGGGCACAUGCCCAACGAAUUAUUCUCCUCCAGGGCAAACCUAUUUUCAUUCUAUUAAUGAUCCCUGAUACAUUGCCCAGUUCCUGUAUCCUCGCUUGUAGCAGGAUGGUACAAGGAUCUUCAGUAAACACCAUCGGCCGGUUUCUGCAACGGAUAUCAUGGCCAACUAAAUGUCUUCCAUGGCUGUGCUGGUGGGAUAGAGGGGUGAGGGAGACCUGAAGCAGGUCCCUUCAGCAGAGCCCAGGCUCCCUCCCUGCAAAGGAGAGUCUGGAGGCUCUAUUUAAUAGCAAUCAACUGCAGCAGAAUUCCUGCCAACCUCACAAUGCCCACAGUUGCUCUCCCCAUCACCUGGCAGAGAUGCUCCUGCCUUGUUCUAGAAGCAUGGGCUGUCUGUGGGCUGCCUUUGUGCCCCUCUCUCUGUGCCAGGGGAGAGCCUUGCUGCUGCUUGGGCACAGCAAUUACAGCACUGACAUGUCUUGUGGUCUGCAGGUGCCCACUCCUUGUGUGUGCCUCACAUCUCCAGCCUGAUGGAGCACAGGAAAGGUUUGACAAUGUGACCAGGGCACAAGUUCACCACUCCAAGACAGAGUCAGAGCAUUUCCAUGUCAUGUCUUUAAGAGAAUCAGUUGCUGUUUUUUCUGUCCUGUACCUUGAUCUCCAGCUGGUUGUGCCUAGUGUGACCCCACCAGACAUCAUUUUCCCCAUCAUCUUUCACUAGUCCCAAGCUGUCCUUGGGUGUGCUUACCCACACUUAGACCUAGUGGGAGCCAAACACACCCCACUUGGGCUCUACAAGGCUGUCACAGAUCUCCUGGCUGGCUCUGCAUAAGCCAAUGUGACCUUGGGGCCACAAAGCCCCAGAAGUUGACUCUCUGGGGCUCCUCACCAGGAGCCAUCCCUGAAGGAACCAGUACCAUCAUCAGAGUGGGUCAGUUUGUGGCUCUGAAAGGCAAGGGCUCAGCACCACCCUGCCCAGAACUGGGGAUGCCCUGGGCAACACAGACCUGCCCAGAGGGACCUUUCCCCACAUCCAGGGCCCAGGAAGAGUUAUCCCAUCCUCGAUUAUUUCCACCUGCAUGGGAGACGAGAAGGGGAGCUCUUUUGCCUGGCGAGCCCUGCUCCAAUUUGCCCCUUCCAGACGGAGCAAAGCCCAUUCAGCAGCUCCCACCACCCGCAGCCAUGGGGAUACCGGUGCCUCAUCCGCGCAGUGCUGCCCCAGGACACGCUUUCUGGCACGGAAACCCCCCCAGCCGCGGGGAGCAAAACGAACGCUGGUCUCCUUGGGGCACCCGCGCUGAAGGGGAGGUGGGUCUGGCCGGCCCGGCCCUGCCCCUUUAAAGCAAAAAGCGCUGCUCGGAAAUUUGUGAAUGGGUGGCCCCGCCCCCGCCCCGCUCGGCCAAUCAGCGAGCGCGCCGCGGGGCCGCAGCCGGAGCACGGGUCUCUCUUAAAGGCGCACCGUCCCCACUCGCCCGCCCCCGCCACGACACAAGACAGCACCGCUUCGGAAGCCCCGAGGUGACCUUCAAAGCGGCUCCCAGCCGCCGGGUGAGGAGUUCCUGAGGCACAGCCACACCCAUCCGUUCCUUAAGAGUGACACACUAGCAACACAAGCCCCGGAGGACAGAUGAUGACGGAUGAGGUGCGGUUUCCCUCACCCUGGCUUCAGGGUUUGGCUUGGACAUGGGAUGGUCAGGUCCCGGGGACUGAACAUUCAUGCUGGCCAAAGCACACAGCUGGGCUGAGUUUCCCCCAAAGGCCAUGAGCUGCCAAGCCAUGGUGCAGGGAGAGCAGGCAGCUGGGAGAGUGGUUUCAUCACCCUGCUCUUGUUUUGGAACAGAUGAAGAAUGUGGGAGAGCUCCCACAGCCCCAGAACCCCAAAGCUUACGAAACCUCCCUGCAAAAACACCCUGUGAGAUUCAGCUGUGCAAAAUCUACCCCUGCACAGAGGGGAAUAGCUAUGUGGUACCUGCCAAGGGAGAGGGAACGAACAGCGCAGAAUGGGACUGCAAUACACAUGUGAAGCAGCGUGCAGAUCUUGCCCCUGGCUUCAGCAAUAAACCCAGCUCCAGGUCCAGCCUGGUCUCCCCUUGCACUGCAGUGCAGUGCCCCCUCCUUGCUCUGCCUCAGCUCCUCCCGCAGUCUGCUGUAGCCCAGGCUGUGAAAUGAUUGGAUCUAAAAAUACCCUUUGAAAGGGGGGGAACAGCCUGGCAGGACAUUGCCAUGUUUCCUGGACACGUGCAGGUGGGAAGCUGGUUGUGAGCUGGGCAAGUAAUGUCAGCCAGACAGGAUGGUCUCUGUGCCAGGGCUUUGGGCACAGGCCCUGGUGUACCUGAGCAGUGCCAGCCCCAAGAUCUAUCCAGGCCACAGACUGCAGGAGGCCUUUGCCUGAGGCUGAAUACUUGGAAUAAUUUUUAGGUACAAUGCCAGUGAGACUCCUGCAAGGUGCUUUGUACCUGCAGGCUGCAGGGCUCAGGCAGGUGCUGCCCUGGGGCAAACCCUCUCUUCCCACAACAGGGCAUGAGAUUGGCUCCAAAUGCUGGCACUGAUGCAGCCAUGCACAGCCUGAACCCCCAGAGCAGGCAGGGCAAAGCCAGAGGAGCCAGCACACAGCAGAGAGCACCUUCCCAAGGACUCACCCUUGGAUUCACAAGAGGGAUGAUUUCCAAACCCACACUCAGUUACUGUCGUCCCCCUGCACUUCCCCCAGCUCCUACCAAUGCCGAGGAUAAUGCAUCUCUCAGCGUAGCUUGAUACUGAUCCUCCAAAUCCUAAAGACUAUAAACCUUCAUGAGCAGUUAUCGUGGCUGCUCUAUUUAUAACAGUGCUGGUACUGCCUCUGCCACCAGAAUCCUGAUCUCUGUCCAGCCUCAUGCCAUUAAGAUGCAGUGACAUUCCCCCAGCUCCAGCACUCCAGAUAGAAAGCAGCUGGCCUGCCAGGCUCUGCCUUCAAGCUUGGUUUGUUUCUUUAAAAAAUGGCGAGGAGAGCCUGUUUGCUUUGCAGAAAUGCACCCCGGGUGAACUGUCCCCACCCUUCUGAGGUGCUGGGGUGGCUAAGAGGGGGAGUGGAGUGUGGAUGGGUAGAAGACAGGGUGGCACAUCGCAGACUGUGGGUAUGGAGGCUCCACACCUGGGAGCCCUUGGUGGGUUUGUGCUACAGGAGACGGUCUCCAGGGCUUCACUUUGGUUGCUGCAGGAAUAUGGUCAGUCACCUGACAAGGCAAAGCAGGAAAGGAGGAACCUGCGAGGUGCUGUGCAGACCCUGCACCGGCUCAUCUUGGAAACUUGAGUUACGCAUGAAACCCAUCAGUGUGAACCUCGGCAUGGAAGUUGCUCCUGCAGCUGUGCUCCCCUGCGGAUGGGCAGGCACAGACAGGAGAUGAAGGCAAACAGAGCUGAAGCAUUAAUCUGGAGAGAGGAUGAAUGGACUCCAGUUUGUCUGGAUGACUGGAGCAUGGCUGUCUGUGGCUUCCCAGAGCCUCUUCCUCACUUUUCCCUUCCUGCCACUGCAUGGGGAGUGCUGCAUGCACUCACACCAUCAAAAUAACUUCAAAACAGGGACAAUGACUUUGAUGAAUGGAGAGACCAACAGUCCCAUGUCCAGCAAGGCUUUCCUAUGCAGCCAGAAACACCUUUGUGUCUGCCAAGGAUCUUCCUUUUGCUGCAGGUUUUAGACAAAAAGCCCUCAAGUAGAGUAGCAAUAGGUGGCCAUGCAUGAGAUUUUGGUUUGACAGCCUGGUGGCUCUACUGACUUCUUCAUCCUUUGCUGAAGCUGUAUAUUGAAGUGGGAGAACUGAAGUCUAGGCAUGUUCAUCUCUGCAGCAGGAAUAGCAAGAGCCUCUAGUAAAGCUGAGGCCGUUCAACCCCAAAAUGUCCACCAAAGUGACAGCUCUUACUGACACAGCCCUUGCUGACCCCCCCUUUGAGCAGCAGCAUCAGUGGGACACAGGCAGCCAGCUGCCCAGCUGGGUGCUCGUGCUGUGCAGGGCUGAUGUGUGUUCAAUCUGUGUGUGUUACUGCAGACAGACACCCUCUUGGGUUCAGCACUUUGGAGCCUAUGUCUACAAUGUCAAAACACAAAACUGCUGGAGAGCAUCUGAAUGGCCUGGGGCGACCUCCAGGCACAAAGUGGCUCAAGUGACUCUGGGGCAGCAGCCGGGGCCUGUGAGCUGUGGGUUGCUGCUUUUCUUCUCUGCUUCUCCUAAAAUAAACAUGCUCUCAGA